RNAcentral lists this ribosomal RNA (411 nucleotides) under uncultured bacterium. RNAcentral's name for it is "bacterial SSU rRNA". It matches the Rfam family "Bacterial small subunit ribosomal RNA", at positions 97 to 520 of the family's 1533-position model. The record is from RNAcentral.
GGCGAACGGGUGAGUAACACGUGGGUGACCUGCCCUUCACUCUGGGAUAAGCCUGGGAAACUGGGCCUAAUACCGGAUAUUCACUGAUCCUCGCAUGGGGGUGGGUGGAAAGUUUUUUCGGUGGGGGAUGGGCCCGCGGCUAUCAGCUUGUUGGUGGGGUGAUGGCCUACCAAGGCGACGACGGGUAGCCGGCCUGAGAGGGCGACCGGCCACACUGGGACUGAGACACGGCCCAGACUCCUACGGGAGGCAGCAGUGGGGAAUAUUGCGCAAUGGGCGGAAGCCUGACGCAGCGACGCCGCGUGGGGGAUGACGGCCUUCGGGUUGUAAACCUCUUUCGACCUCGACGAAGCUUUCGGGUGACGGUAGGGGUAGAAGAAGCACCGGCCAACUACGUGCCAGCCGCCGCGG